Molecule: ribosomal RNA, 406 nt
Filed under: uncultured bacterium
Lineage: Bacteria
Description: bacterial SSU rRNA
Rfam family: Bacterial small subunit ribosomal RNA
Source: RNAcentral
GUUUGAUCCUGGCUCAGAUUGAACGCUGGCGGCAUGCUUUUACACAUGCAAGUCGAACGGUAACAGGCCUUCGGGUGCUGACGAGUGGCGAACGGGUGAGUAAUGCAUCGGAACGUGCCCAAUCGUGGGGGAUAACGUAGCGAAAGUUACGCUAAUACCGCAUAAGCCCUGAGGGGGAAAGUGGGGGACCGCAAGGCCUCACGCGAAUGGAGCGGCCGAUGUCAGAUUAGCUAGUUGGUGGGGUAAAGGCUCACCAAGGCGACGAUCUGUAGCGGGUCUGAGAGGAUGAUCCGCCACACUGGGACUGAGACACGGCCCAGACUCCUACGGGAGGCAGCAGUGGGGAAUUUUGGACAAUGGGCGCAAGCCUGAUCCAGCCAUGCCGCGUGCGGGACGAAGGCCUCGG